This 504-nucleotide ribosomal RNA is filed under the name Streptococcus mutans. Its description in RNAcentral is "bacterial SSU rRNA". It matches the Rfam family "Bacterial small subunit ribosomal RNA", at positions 368 to 863 of the family's 1533-position model. Lineage: Bacteria; Bacillati; Bacillota; Bacilli; Lactobacillales; Streptococcaceae. The record is from RNAcentral.
GCAAUGGACGAAAGUCUGACCGAGCAACGCCGCGUGAGUGAAGAAGGUUUUCGGAUCGUAAAGCUCUGUUGUAAGUCAAGAACGUGUGUGAGAGUGGAAAGUUCACACAGUGACGGUAGCUUACCAGAAAGGGACGGCUAACUACGUGCCAGCAGCCGCGGUAAUACGUAGGUCCCGAGCGUUGUCCGGAUUUAUUGGGCGUAAAGGGAGCGCAGGCGGUCAGGAAAGUCUGGAGUAAAAGGCUAUGGCUCAACCAUAGUGUGCUCUGGAAACUGUCUGACUUGAGUGCAGAAGGGGAGAGUGGAAUUCCAUGUGUAGCGGUGAAAUGCGUAGAUAUAUGGAGGAACACCAGUGGCGAAAGCGGCUCUCUGGUCUGUCACUGACGCUGAGGCUCGAAAGCGUGGGUAGCGAACAGGAUUAGAUACCCUGGUAGUCCACGCCGUAAACGAUGAGUGCUAGGUGUUAGGCCCUUUCCGGGGCUUAGUGCCGGAGCUAACGCAAUAA